RNAcentral lists this unclassified non-coding RNA (223 nucleotides) under Hevea brasiliensis (rubber tree). Lineage: Eukaryota; Viridiplantae; Streptophyta; Magnoliopsida; Malpighiales; Euphorbiaceae. The record is from RNAcentral.
AAGGAAACAGUUCAGUAUCUUCUGCCAGUAACUGAUCCGAGUCUUCUCACUGAGAAAGAUGGUGUUGGACUCAUCAAUUUUCUGAUCAUUGCAGAUUUUUAUAUUUAUGUGUAAUAUCACUUAUUAAUUAUGUAUUUGCUUUGACUUGAUUUUUCUCUGUAAUUGAAUACUAACUCCAGUACAACAGAGCAAGAACUCAACUAUUGAGCUACUUGUCCAGUGG